CCUACGGGUGGCAGCAGUGGGGAAUAUUGGGCAAUGGGCGCAAGCCUGACCCAGCAACGCCGCGUGAAGGAAGAAGGCUUUCGGGUUGUAAACUUCUUUUGUCAGGGAAGAGUAGAAGACGGUACCUGACGAAUAAGCCACGGCUAACUACGUGCCAGCAGCCGCGGUAAUACGUAGGUGGCAAGCGUUGUCCGAAUUUAUUGGGUGAAAAGGGCGUGUAGCCGGGUUGACAAGUCAGAUGUGAAAUCCUGCGGCUUAACCGCAGAACUGCAUUUGAAACUGUUGAUCUUGGGUAUUGAGAGGCAGACGGAAUUCCUAGUGUAGCGGUGAAAUGCGUAGAUAUUAGGAGGAACACCAGUGGCGAAGGCGGUCUGCUGGACAGCAACUGACGGUGAGGCGCGAAAGCGUGGGGAGCAAACAGGAUUAGAUACCCGGGUAGUC
RNAcentral lists this ribosomal RNA (441 nucleotides) under uncultured bacterium. RNAcentral's name for it is "partial 16S ribosomal RNA". It matches the Rfam family "Bacterial small subunit ribosomal RNA", at positions 338 to 795 of the family's 1533-position model. The record is from RNAcentral.